GCAAAAUUUGUUCUUUUGAGGAGGGAGGUGCAUUCACAGGAGGAGAAAUACGAGUAUUCUGGUUAUUUUAACGAAUGAGAAAGAGAACUUGCUAGAUGUGAAGGAAGAAGAGAAAGGAAAUGUGCAGCCAUGUGGGUUGUGGGUUCCUAAACAGGAUCAACUCUGAACACUGACUUUGCUUUCCUGACUCUGUUUUCCAUCUCUUUCCUCCAGUCGGGUGGUUUCAUGGACAUGUUUGGGAUGAUGAAUGACAUGAUUGGAAACAUGGUGAGACUUGCCCCAUACCCUUCCCCGGCCUUGCUCUCAGUGAUGGCUGACAACACCUUGCAUCCUCUAAGGCAAGAGGGAGACAGUAUGCUAGUGAAGGGUAAAGUACUGGAUAAAGUAAUUGAACCAGAGAGCCUUGGGACCCUGUAUCUGCUGUCAUGCCUGCCUGAAGCAGCCAGCAGCAGCUCUCUUACGUAGCAUACAAUUAAGGCCCUGUCUCUUCAGGUCCUUCUUGCUCGUGGUUGGACUCAGAGGAAUUUGGGAGGGUAAUGAUGAGGCCUGAUGUUUUUUCAGUUCUUGCAUUUUGUGAGAAAGAUACAGGCUAGAACAGGCAGCUGAAGGGUGAAAUCCCUUCACCAGGGGUGACGC
RNAcentral lists this small RNA (636 nucleotides) under Pan troglodytes (chimpanzee). RNAcentral's name for it is "processed transcript". Lineage: Eukaryota; Metazoa; Chordata; Mammalia; Primates; Hominidae. The record is from RNAcentral.